UGGCGGCGUGCUUAACACAUGCAAGUCGAACGGGACUUACAUUGGAAGUUUUCGGAUUGAAGAUGUAAGUUUAGUGGCGGACGGGUGAGUAACGCGUGGAUAAUCAACCUUAAAGUCUGGGACAACAGCUGGAAACGGCUGCUAAUACCGGAUAAGCUCACAGGGAGGCAUCUUCCGGUGAGAAAAGGAGGCCUCUUAACAAUGCUCCCGCUUUAAGACGAGUCCGCGUCUGAUUAGUUAGUUGGCAGGGUAACGGCCUACCAAGACGACGAUCAGUAGCCGGCCUGAGAGGGUGGCCGGCCACACUGGGACUGAGACACGGCCCAGACUCCUACGGGAGGCAGCAGUGGGGUAUUUUCCGCAAUGGGCGCAAGCCUGACGGAGCAACGCCGCGUGAAUGAAGAAGGCCUUCGGGUCGUAAAUUUCUGUCUUUUGGGGCGAAACAGCAGCGCAAAUAGCGUUGUGAAUGACGGUACCAAAGGAGGAAGCUCCGGCUAACUACGUGCCAGCAGCCGCGGUAAUACGUAGGGAGCGAGCGUUGUCCGGAAUUACUGGGCGUAAAGGGCGCGUAGGCGGGUUUUUAAGUCAG
RNAcentral lists this ribosomal RNA (589 nucleotides) under uncultured bacterium. RNAcentral's name for it is "bacterial SSU rRNA". It matches the Rfam family "Bacterial small subunit ribosomal RNA", at positions 37 to 591 of the family's 1533-position model. The record is from RNAcentral.